UAGGGAAUAUUGGGCAAUGGGGGCAACCCUGAUCCAGCCAUGCCGCGUGAGUGAAGAAGGCCCUCGGGUUGUAAAGCUCUUUUGUCCGGAAAGAAAAGCAUUCGGUGAAUACCCGGAUGUUCUGACGGUACCGGAAGAAUAAGCACCGGCUAACUUCGUGCCAGCAGCCGCGGUAAUACGAAGGGUGCAAGCGUUACUCGGAAUUACUGGGCGUAAAGCGUGCGUAGGUGGUUGUUUAAGUCUGAUGUGAAAGCCCUGGGCUCAACCUGGGAAUGGCAUUGGAAACUGGGCAUCUAGAGUUCGGUUGAGGGUAGUGGAAUUCCCGGUGUAGCAGUGAAAUGCGUAGAGAUCGGGACGAACAUCUGUGGCGAAGGCGACUGCCUGGACCAGCACUGACACUGAGGCACGAAAGCGUGGGGAGCAAACA
This 427-nucleotide ribosomal RNA is filed under the name uncultured bacterium. Its description in RNAcentral is "bacterial SSU rRNA". It matches the Rfam family "Bacterial small subunit ribosomal RNA", at positions 355 to 774 of the family's 1533-position model. The record is from RNAcentral.